GGGACUCCGGAUGUUGUGGAUUACAUCUCCCCUGGUGCUUUGCCAGCAUUAUGGGAGAUGUAGACCACAACAUCUGGAGUCCC
Pelobates cultripes (western spadefoot toad) is the source of this 83-nucleotide non-coding RNA. NCBI's taxonomy places the organism in Eukaryota, Metazoa, Chordata, Amphibia, Anura, Pelobatidae. The record is from the annotation of a GenBank genome assembly.